GCCUUCGUGGUGUAGUGGUUCUGCACGCUGGGCCAGUAUUCCAGAGGUCUGUGGUUCGAUUCCUGGCGAAGGCG
This 74-nucleotide transfer RNA is filed under the name Stegodyphus dumicola. RNAcentral describes it as "tRNA-Thr". It matches the Rfam family "tRNA". From Rfam's summary of the family: Transfer RNA (tRNA) molecules are approximately 80 nucleotides in length. Their secondary structure includes four short double-helical elements and three loops (D, anti-codon, and T loops). Lineage: Eukaryota; Metazoa; Arthropoda; Arachnida; Araneae; Eresidae. The record is from RNAcentral.